RNAcentral lists this ribosomal RNA (460 nucleotides) under uncultured bacterium. Its description in RNAcentral is "partial 16S ribosomal RNA". It matches the Rfam family "Bacterial small subunit ribosomal RNA", at positions 338 to 795 of the family's 1533-position model. The record is from RNAcentral.
CCUACGGGUGGCAGCAGUGAGGAAUAUUGGUCAAUGGCCGUAAGGCUGAACCAGCCAAGUCGCGUGAAGGAAGAAGGAUCUAUGGUUUGUAAACUUCUUUUAUAGGGGAAUAAAGGUAUCCACGUGUGGAUAUUUGCAUGUACCCUAUGAAUAAGCAUCGGCUAACUCCGUGCCAGCAGCCGCGGUAAUACGGAGGAUGCGAGCGUUAUUCGGAUUUAUUGGGUUUAAAGGGUUGGUUGGUUGUUUUUUAAGUCAGCCGUUAAAGUUUGUGGCUCAACCAUAAAAUUGCCGUUGAAACUGGAGUACUUGAGUGUGUUUGAGGUAGGCGGAAUGCGUGGUGUAGCGGUGAAAUGCAUAGAUAUCACGCAGAACUCCGAUUGCGAAGGCAGCUUACUGGGGCAUAACUGACGCUGAAGCACGAAAGCGUGGGGAUCGAACAGGAUUAGAUACCCCAGUAGUC